Erigeron canadensis is the source of this 524-nucleotide long non-coding RNA. RefSeq lists it as uncharacterized. The transcript is spliced from 2 exons. The record is from RefSeq and is a predicted model, not a curated record. Lineage: Eukaryota; Viridiplantae; Streptophyta; Magnoliopsida; Asterales; Asteraceae.
GAAUAAAGCAACUCAAUGACAAAGUAAAAUGAUUUUGGGUUUAGAAAUUUGUUAGCAUGGCUAGAUUGAGUUAGUAUGAAUGUGACCUUAUAUGCAUAUUGUGAUGAUUGAUAGGUUGAAAGAAAGGAUGUGUUUUCUUGUGGUCACCAUGGAAUUGGUUAUUCGUCUUUGAGGUGGUUCCGAGAGAAGAAACUAAUGUUGUUAAUUUGAAGUUAGGAGAACAAGGUUAAUUUAGAAGGCUUGGAGGUAUUGUCCAUUCUUGAAAGAAUGGAUAUUUUGUUUAGACACUUAGUCAUCCUACCCAUGUCUCUUGAUCCUAUGGUUGUUUUGGUAUUCAUGCAAAUAUGGUAAAGGUUUGGUCUUGUGACAUCAAAAACAAGUAUGGUUAUUUUGUAUAAAGGUUAACUUGGGUAAAUGACCUGUAUGGAUGUGUAAAUGAUUGUAUGGUACUAUGGUCAAAUGGUCAUUUGAAUUAUGUUGUAAAUUAUGUCAUGUAGUGGUUUGAAAUCAACUUUGAUGUGUUA